UUCCCUACACGACGCUCUUCCGAUCUUUGGCAUCUGGAGCCGAAGAAGGACGUAGCAAUCUGCGAUAAGCCUCGGGGAGCUGAUAAGCGAGCUUUGAUCCGAGGAUGUCCGAAUGGGGAAACCCCGCUGGGAGCUUCGUGCUACCCAGUGACUCCCGCCUGAAUAUAUAGGGCGGGUAGAGGGAACGUGGGGAAGUGAAACAUCUCAGUACCCACAGGAAGAGAAAACAACAGUGAUUCCGGUAGUAGUGGCGAGCGAAACCGGAACAGGCCAAACCGAUCAUGUGUGAUAGCCGGCAGGCGUUGCAUGGUCGGGGUUGUGGGACUCUUACGGUUUUCUGCCGAAAACCACGUAGAUAGUUGUUGUAUAGACAAAUGGUCUUGAAAGGCCAGCCGCAGAGGGUGCCAGCCCCGUAGUUGAAAUGCAGCACUAAUGCGAAGAGGAUCCCAAGUAUCACGGGGCCCGAGAAAUCCCGUGUGAAUCUGCCAGGACCACCUGGUAAGCCUAAAUACUCCCAGAUGACCGAUAGCGGACAAGUACCGUGAGGGAAAGGUGAAAAGUACCCCGGGAGGGGAGUGAAAUAGAACCUGAAACCGUUUGCUUACAAUCCGUUGGAGCCUCCUUGUAGGGGUGACAGCGUGCCUUUUGAAGAAUGAGCCUGCGAGUUAGCGAUAUGUGGCGAGGUUAACCCGUGAGGGGUAGCCGUAGCGAAAGCGAGUCUGAAUAGGGCGAUUCAGUCGCAUGUCCUAGACCCGAAGCGAAGUGAUCUAUCCAUGGCCAGGUUGAAGCGACGGUAAGACGUCGUGGAGGACCGAACCCACUUGGGUUGAAAACCGAGGGGAUGAGCUGUGGAUAGGGGUGAAAGGCCAAUCAAACUUCGUGAUAGCUGGUUCUCUCCGAAAUGCAUUUAGGUGCAGCGUUGCGUGUUUCUUGCCGGAGGUAGAGCUACUGGAUGGCCGAUGGGCCCUAAAAGGUUACUGACGUCAGCCAAACUCCGAAUGCCGGUAAGUAAGAGCGCAGCAGUGAGACGGUGGGGGAUAAGCUUCAUCGUCGAGAGGGAAACAACCCAGACUACCGACUAAGGUCCCAAAGCGUGUGCUAAGUGGAAAAGGAUGUGGAGUUGCAUAGACAACCAGGAGGUUGGCUUAGAAGCAGCCACCCUUGAAAGAGUGCGUAAUAGCUCACUGGUCAAGUGAUUCCGCGCCGACAAUGUAACGGGGCUCAAGCACACCACCGAAGUCGUAGCAUUCAAACUAUAGGUAGGCCUUCGUGGUCCAGCCGUGUGAAUGGGUAGGAGAGCGUCGUGUGGCGAGCGAAGCGGCGGAGUGAUCCAGCCGUGGACGCCACACGAGUGAGAAUGCAGGCAUGAGUAGCGAAAGACGGGUGAGAAACCCGUCCUCCGGAAGACCAAGGGUUCCAGGGCCAGGCUAAUCCGCCCUGGGUAAGUCGGGACCUAAGACGAGGCCGACAGGCGUAGUCGAUGGACAACGGGUUGAUAUUCCCGUACCCGCGAAGAACCGCAAGAGCUAAACCAGUAAUGCUAAGAGUCCGAAUUCUCUUUCUGAUCCCUUCGGGGUGAGGAUUGAGAGCUAGCACUCGACCCUAUGCUGGCGCGGCUAGCGUAUUAACAGGUGUGACGCAGGAAGGUAGCUGAGCCGGGCGAUGGUUGUCCCGGUGUAAGGAUGUAGGGCGAGGAAUAGGCAAAUCCGUUCCUCACGAAGCCUGAGAUCCGACGCGUACCCCUCACGGGGGAAAUCAGUGAUCCUAUGCUGCCAAGAAAAGCAUCGACGCGAGGUUCUAGUGGCCCGUACCCCAAACCGACUCAGGUGGUCAGGUAGAGAAUACUAAGGAGAUCGAGAGAAUCGUGGUUAAGGAACUCGGCAAAAUGCCCCCGUAACUUCGGGAGAAGGGGGGCCGGAUUGGUGAAGGGAUUUACUCCUGGAGCUAUGAAGGCCGCAGAGACCAGUGGGAAGCGACUGUUUACUAAAAACACAGGUCCGUGCUAAGUCGCAAGACGAUGUAUACGGACUGACGCCUGCCCGGUGCUGGAAGGUUAAGAGGAGCGGUUAGCACUUGUGCAAAGCUGCGAAUUUAAGCCCCAGUAAACGGCGGUGGUAACUAUAACCAUCCUAAGGUAGCGAAAUUCCUUGUCGGGUAAGUUCCGACCUGCACGAAUGGAGUAACGAUGGCCACACUGUCUCCUCUAGAGACUCAGCGAAGUUGAAAUGGUUGUGAAGAUGCAAUCUACCCGCGGUUAGACGGAAAGACCCCAUGCACCUUUACUAUAGCUUUACACUGGACUUGGAUAUCAUCUGUGUAGGAUAGGUGGGAGACGUUGAAGCAGGAUCGCUAGAUCUUGUGGAGUCACCCUUGAAAUACCACCCUGAUGUUGUUGAGGUUCUAACCCAGGUCCCUUAUCGGGAUCGGGAACCGUGUAUGGUGGGUAGUUUGACUGGGGCGGUCUCCUCCCAAAGAGUAACGGAGGAGUGCGAAGGUAACCUAGGCACGGUCGGAAAUCGUGCUGUUAGUGCAAUGGCAUAAGGUUGCUUGACUGCGAGACGGACAGGUCGAGCAGGUACGAAAGUAGGUCAUAGUGAUCCGGUGGUUCUGAAUGGAAGGGCCAUCGCUCAACGGAUAAAAGGUACUCCGGGGAUAACAGGCUGAUA
Molecule: ribosomal RNA, 2666 nt
Filed under: seawater metagenome
Description: bacterial LSU rRNA
Rfam family: Bacterial large subunit ribosomal RNA
Source: RNAcentral